GUAUAUGGAAUCUCCAUUCUAUAAACCCACUCUGCGUAUCUUGUAACUGUUGCUUCCAUGGGACUUGGUUCCGCCACACCGGCUUCACGGCUGGUGAGCGCCCAUGGAAGGAGAAACAAAACUCUUCUUUGAAAUGUAGUCAGUCUGAACAAGUUUUUAUAAACGUUAAAACUUUCAACAACGGAUCUCUUGGUUCU
Molecule: unclassified non-coding RNA, 197 nt
Filed under: rhizosphere metagenome
Description: partial ribosomal RNA internal transcribed spacer region
Source: RNAcentral